RNAcentral lists this unclassified non-coding RNA (822 nucleotides) under Hevea brasiliensis (rubber tree). Lineage: Eukaryota; Viridiplantae; Streptophyta; Magnoliopsida; Malpighiales; Euphorbiaceae. The record is from RNAcentral.
UAACCAACCAUUAGGCCAAAAUGAAACUGCAUUAAUAGCACUCUUAAAACACCACCUACUGGGCAAGAUAAAUGGCUGACAAUGUCAACAUCUAGCAUAAAAUGUACAAAAACAAGUUUAUUUAGGUUCAUUCGACCAUAUUAGAAAGUAAAAGCUCUCACCAAGAGGGUAUCGCUCAUACUCAUAAUAUUUUUUUCAUACCUUUACUAAACACAUACAUUCAACACUCUGCCAUAGGAAAUACAGAUCCAAUCCGAUCUCCAAAGCGAUAGCACUUGAUAUUAACAGGGUAUGGACCCAAUUCUACAUGGUUAUCCUCUCCACCCAAAUAGAAACAGAGAGUAUACAAUGCAACUUCAAACUCCGGGCUCACACCAACUAAAAUGCUUGAUACAGAUUUGAGAACUCCAUUCCAUUCAAACUGAGCUGUAAGUAACUGGGUAUCAGAGUCCGGAAUCUGCCCACGUCGCCGAGGGAAAAUAUAACCUUGAUAAUCAACCCUUCCUUUUGCUUCUUCUAGAUAAAACUGAAGCCAGUUAUGGAAACCAGAAACUUCUUGUUCCCCACGAUGCUUAACUUCUCCAACAAAAACGUGUUCAAAAGCAGAAGAGGAACCAUAAGUACCACCUCGACCAUAGAGUUCAAACCAGAGACUUGUCAAUAUUCUUUUAAAAUCAUGAUAAUCAUCAGAUACAAUGCCUUUAAAUGCAAGAAGCUUAUGAAGGUAUUUAAUGGGUGCAGUUCUGCUGAUUUCUUCUAUAAAAGCAGCUUGCUCUUGCUUCUCUUCAGCAGUGACAACUUCUUUGCACCCUUGAUUUGGGU